ACAAGCGGUGGAGCAUUGUGGUUUAAUUCGAAGCAACGCGAAGAACCUUACCAGGUCUUGACAUCCCGAUGCUAUUUCUAGAGAUAGAAAGUUACUUCGGUACAUCGGUGACAGGUGGUGCAUGGUUGUCGUCAGCUCGUGUCGUGAGAUGUUGGGUUAAGUCCCGCAACGAGCGCAACCCCUAUUGUUAGUUGCCAUCAUUCAGUUGGGCACUCUAGCGAGACUGCCGGUAAUAAACCGGAGGAAGGUGGGGAUGACGUCAAAUCAUCAUGCCCCUUAUGACCUGGGCUACACACGUGCUACAAUGGUUGGUACAACGAGUUGCGAGUCGGUGACGGCGAGCUAAUCUCUUAAAGCCAAUCUCAGUUCGGAUUGUAGGCUGCAACUCGCCUACAUGAAGUCGGAAUCGCUAGUAAUCGCGGAUCAGCACGCCGCGGUGAAUACGUUCCCGGGCCUU
RNAcentral lists this ribosomal RNA (457 nucleotides) under uncultured Streptococcus sp. RNAcentral describes it as "bacterial SSU rRNA". It matches the Rfam family "Bacterial small subunit ribosomal RNA", at positions 925 to 1382 of the family's 1533-position model. The record is from RNAcentral. Lineage: Bacteria; Bacillati; Bacillota; Bacilli; Lactobacillales; Streptococcaceae.